This 252-nucleotide ribosomal RNA is filed under the name uncultured bacterium. RNAcentral's name for it is "partial 16S ribosomal RNA". It matches the Rfam family "Bacterial small subunit ribosomal RNA", at positions 524 to 776 of the family's 1533-position model. The record is from RNAcentral.
UACGGAGGACGCGAGCGUUAUCCGGAUUUAUUGGGUUUAAAGGGUGCGCAGGCGGAUUUUUAAGUCAGCGGUCAAAUCGUGGGGCUCAACCCCAUCCAGCCGUUGAAACUGGGGAUCUAGAGUGUGCGAGAGGUAUGCGGAAUGCGUGGUGUAGCGGUGAAAUGCAUAGAUAUCACGCAGAACCCCGAUUGCGAAGGCAGCAUACCGGUGCACAACUGACGCUCAGGCACGAAAGCGUGGGUAUCGAACAGG